RNAcentral lists this ribosomal RNA (253 nucleotides) under uncultured bacterium. RNAcentral describes it as "partial 16S ribosomal RNA". It matches the Rfam family "Bacterial small subunit ribosomal RNA", at positions 524 to 776 of the family's 1533-position model. The record is from RNAcentral.
UACGUAGGGUGCGAGCGUUAAUCGGAAUUACUGGGCGUAAAGGGUGCGCAGGCGGCUCAUCAAGUCAGAGGUGAAAGCCCAGGGCUCAACCCUGGAACUGCCUUUGAAACUGUUGGGCUUGAGUACGGGAGAGGUGAGUGGAAUUCCGAGUGUAGAGGUGACAUUCGUAGAUAUUCGGAGGAACACCAGUGGCGAAGGCGGCUCACUGGACCGUAACUGACGCUCAUGCACGAUAGCGUGGGGAGCAAACAGG